This 668-nucleotide ribosomal RNA is filed under the name Streptomyces violaceus subsp. violarus. RNAcentral's name for it is "bacterial SSU rRNA". It matches the Rfam family "Bacterial small subunit ribosomal RNA", at positions 20 to 705 of the family's 1533-position model. Lineage: Bacteria; Bacillati; Actinomycetota; Actinomycetes; Kitasatosporales; Streptomycetaceae. The record is from RNAcentral.
UGGCUCAGGACGAACGCUGGCGGCGUGCUUAACACAUGCAAGUCGAACGAUGAACCACUUCGGUGGGGAUUAGUGGCGAACGGGUGAGUAACACGUGGGCAAUCUGCCCUUCACUCUGGGACAAGCCCUGGAAACGGGGUCUAAUACCGGAUAACACUUCCACUCUCCUGGGUGGAGGUUAAAAGCUCCGGCGGUGAAGGAUGAGCCCGCGGCCUAUCAGCUUGUUGGUGAGGUAAUGGCUCACCAAGGCGACGACGGGUAGCCGGCCUGAGAGGGCGACCGGCCACACUGGGACUGAGACACGGCCCAGACUCCUACGGGAGGCAGCAGUGGGGAAUAUUGCACAAUGGGCGAAAGCCUGAUGCAGCGACGCCGCGUGAGGGAUGACGGCCUUCGGGUUGUAAACCUCUUUCAGCAGGGAAGAAGCGAAAGUGACGGUACCUGCAGAAGAAGCGCCGGCUAACUACGUGCCAGCAGCCGCGGUAAUACGUAGGGCGCGAGCGUUGUCCGGAAUUAUUGGGCGUAAAGAGCUCGUAGGCGGCUUGUCACGUCGGGUGUGAAAGCCCGGGGCUUAACCCCGGGUCUGCAUUCGAUACGGGCAGGCUAGAGUGUGGUAGGGGAGAUCGGAAUUCCUGGUGUAGCGGUGAAAUGCGCAGAUAUCAGGAGGA